This 366-nucleotide long non-coding RNA is filed under the name Androctonus crassicauda. Lineage: Eukaryota; Metazoa; Arthropoda; Arachnida; Scorpiones; Buthidae. The record is from RNAcentral.
GGGUCCCAGAGGCGCCUUACCCCUGCACAUUGGAAGUGAAUUACUGGCAGCUGUUCAAACUCUUCAGGCAGGAUUCCUGUGGACUUUGAGAUUUCCUGUUACCUCAUCUUCUUUUUUAAAGUACACCUGACUUAGGAGGGUACUGUCUCUAAUGUAUAUUUCUAGUGUUUACAGACACUAAGUGUGUAUAUGUAGUAACUAUUUACAGACCAUGCAUCCUUAUACUGUGACUUCACCUAGUACAGAUCUUCAACCAAGCUGAAGACCUGCUGCUCUGAAACAGUACUUGCAGUUACUCCCCCGCUGUUGUUUGGACAGUUCAUUCGAAUGGAUUUUUAACUAUUAGGGAUCACUUCGAAGUUUCAU